RNAcentral lists this ribosomal RNA (582 nucleotides) under uncultured bacterium. RNAcentral describes it as "bacterial SSU rRNA". It matches the Rfam family "Bacterial small subunit ribosomal RNA", at positions 92 to 654 of the family's 1533-position model. The record is from RNAcentral.
AGAGUGGCGCACGGGUGAGUAACACGUAGGUAAUCUACCUUCGGGUGGGGAAUAACAACCGGAAACGGUUGCUAAUACCGCAUAAUGCAGCGGCACCUAAUGGUGACAGUUGUUAAAGCGGGGGAUCGCAAGAUCUCGCGCCUGAAGAGGAGCCUGCGGCGGAUUAGCUAGUUGGUAGGGUAAUGGCCUACCAAGGCGACGAUCCGUAGCCGGCCUGAAAGGGCGGUCGGCCACACUGACACUGACAUACAGGUCAGACUCCUACGGGAGGCAGCAGUCGGGAAUUUUGGGCAAUGGGCGAAAGCCUGACCCACCAACGCCGCGUGAAGGAUGAAAUCCCUCGGGAUGUAAACUUCACAAGAACGGGAAGAAUAAGUUUGUGCUAAUACCACAAGCGAUGACGGUACUGUUUGUAAGCUCCGGCUAACUCCGUGCCAGCAGCCGCGGUAAUACGGGGGGAGCAAGCGUUGUUCGGAUUUACUGGGCGUAAAGGGCGCGUACGCGGCCUCCGCAAGUCAGUUGUGAAAUCUCCGAGCUUAACUCGGAAAGGUCAACUGAUACUGCGGGGCUAGAGUGCGGAUG